AUUGAACGCUGGCGGCAGGCCUAACACAUGCAAGUCGAGCGGAUGAAGGGAGCUUGCUCCUGGAUUCAGCGGCGGACGGGUGAGUAAUGCCUAGGAAUCUGCCUGGUAGUGGGGGAUAACGUCCGGAAACGGGCGCUAAUACCGCAUACGUCCUGAGGGAGAAAGUGGGGGAUCUUCGGACCUCACGCUAUCAGAUGAGCCUAGGUCGGAUUAGCUAGUUGGUGGGGUAAAGGCCUACCAAGGCGACGAUCCGUAACUGGUCUGAGAGGAUGAUCAGUCACACUGGAACUGAAACACGGUCCAGACUCCUACGGGAGGCAGCAGUGGGGAAUAUUGGACAGUGGGCGAAAGCCUGAUCCAGCCAUGCCGCGUGUGUGAAGAAGGUCUUCGGAUUGUAAAGCACUUUAAGUUGGGAGGAAGGGCAGUAAGUUAAUACCUUGCUGUUUUGACGUUACCAACAGAAUAAGCACCGGCUAACUUCGUG
This 484-nucleotide ribosomal RNA is filed under the name uncultured bacterium. RNAcentral's name for it is "partial 16S ribosomal RNA". It matches the Rfam family "Bacterial small subunit ribosomal RNA", at positions 30 to 507 of the family's 1533-position model. The record is from RNAcentral.